Long non-coding RNA from Sebastes umbrosus (honeycomb rockfish), 1868 nucleotides. RefSeq lists it as uncharacterized. NCBI's taxonomy places the organism in Eukaryota, Metazoa, Chordata, Actinopteri, Perciformes, Sebastidae. The record is from RefSeq and is a predicted model, not a curated record. The transcript has 3 exons.
AUAAAAACUUUGAUGCGAGUUGUGCGCAGUUCAAUAAAGUUAUUUUUUUCCUCUCAAGUUUGAUUUGUAGGAUUGUACAGCAUGGAAAGGUAAAGGUACUCACAACAAAUAUUUCACAACAAGAAGAAGAAAUAAAUUGCAGAAAAGUUAGAUACAUACAGUACGGGUAACAGAAAGGUUUUUUGUUCUUGCUUUUACCAUCUUGUGACCCCUCAGACUUAUUGUAGUACUACUUGGGAGGUCCUGAUGCCCAGGUUGGGAAUCACUGUCUCCAGUUAAGAAAGUAACAUGAUGAUGAACAAACAAAGAAUCUAUCAACAGUGAAUCUGCAUGUGCAUGACCUUUGACUUUAAAAGCCAAAAAGCACCGACAGCAGCUUGCUCUUGCAGGGCCGAGUCCACCACCCAUGUGUGUGCGUUUGUGUGUGUGUGUGGUUGAGUGAGUGAGAGAGUGUCGAUGUACAGUACAGUACUGUAGAUCACUGGUGGACAGCAGCCAGCCACCCCCUCCCCAAACGAUGAGUGUCCCAGCCAGGAUGGCACCAGCUCUGACACACACACACACACACACACACACAUGCACAUUGCACACACAUACCAGAUGGGGUCUACUUCAAGACCACCACUCGCACUGAUCUCAUCGGAAAGAGAAGCGGGGCUGCAGCAGAAGCGGUGGUGGUGAUAGCGGGUAUGUGAAAUGACAGUCUGUAUGUGAGUGUGUGAGUGUGUGAGUGUGUGUGGGUGAGAUCAGAGGGAAAGCAGCGAUAUGAGAGACGGGUGAGUGUUAUUCCAGAUGCUCCACCCUGCACCCUCCUACCCCUCCACCGGCCCACUUCACUCCCUGCUGGGUUCUCGGUUUUCAACGGCAUAAAAACAGGAAAGGAGGAAGUGUUUUCAAUGUGUGAGUGUGUGUGUGUGUGUGUGUUGGGGUGCAGGGGGGUGUGUCAAGUGUGAGGUGUAAAUUUCUAAUGGCGCAGCACUGUGUGACAAAUUGCGGAGCGAGUGUGACAGUAUAUAUGUGUGUGUGUGUGUGUGUCACUCCCCCGCAUACAGCUCAUGUGUGCCUGGUGCAUAUAUCUGUGUGUGUGUGUGUGUGUGUGUGUGUGUGUAUGUGUGUUGUAUCGCAGCGCAGAUGCAUGCUCAUGUGUGGGAAUCAUUUGCAUGCUGUUUGUCGGUGGGGUUGCAGUCUGUCAGCUUGGUCAGAGCUGUAAUCACAAAGCCAGAUGAAGCACUCUUAAUAACAACCCAGUCCAACUGCCAGCGUCUCAGAGAGGGGAGUAAACACUUGGAAGAGCCAAACCGCUGCACCAAUGUGCACAUUUGGCAGCGCUUGUUUGCAGAAAAUGAAACAUUUCAUGACAGGAUAAAAACAAGGGGUUGGUCCUUUUCAACUAUUGAGGAAGCAAUUUGGCACUUCCAGAAUCCAGACAAAACGCCACCUGUGCUGGCUGGCAAGCCUUCCCAAGACCCAGACGACUGCAGCCCUCCUCCUCCUCCUCCUCCUCCUCCUCCUCCUCUUCCUCCACCUCCUCCUCCUCUCACUGACAGUGGCAGAGCUGCUCUGAAAAAUUAAUCUGCAGCACAGAUGAAUUACACAGGAGCACGCGCCCAAGUGCAAAUAUGGACGUAGCUGUGAAUGGAGGGGAGAUUUAAAGGAGUGUGAAAAGAUAUGGGGAGAUGCUUCACCAGUGUGUGUAGUACAGUAUGUGUGUGCCUGUGAGCAAGUUUGUAUAUCUGCUGAUAAAUAAACUAGGCGCUACGUAGGCAGCGGGUUUUUAAUUAGUCUCUUGCUCUCAAAGCGGCAGUGGGUAGAAAUGGAGCAAAUAUGAUUAAAAAAAGUAUUUUUUUAUAAAACGGUCACUACAUCAU